RNAcentral lists this ribosomal RNA (497 nucleotides) under uncultured bacterium. Its description in RNAcentral is "partial 16S ribosomal RNA". It matches the Rfam family "Bacterial small subunit ribosomal RNA", at positions 28 to 507 of the family's 1533-position model. The record is from RNAcentral.
GAUGAACGCUGGCGGCGUGCCUAAUACAUGCAAGUCGAGCGAACAGAUAAGGAGCUUGCUCCUUUGACGUUAGCGGCGGACGGGUGAGUAACACGUGGAUAACCUACCUAUAAGACUGGGAUAACUUCGGGAAACCGGAGCUAAUACCGGAUAACAUAUUGAACCGCAUGGUUCAAUAGUGAAAGGCGGCUUUGCUGUCACUUAUAGAUGGAUCCGCGCCGUAUUAGCUUGUUGGUAAGGUAACGGCUUACCAAGGCAACGAUACGUAGCCGACCUGAGAGGGUGAUCGGCCACACUGGAACUGAGACACGGUCCAGACUCCUACGGGAGGCAGCAGUAGGGAAUCUUCCGCAAUGGGCGAAAGCCUGACGGAGCAACGCCGCGUGAGUGAUGAAGGUCUUCGGAUCGUAAAACUCUGUUAUCAGGGAAGAACAAAUGUGUAAGUAACUGUGCACAUCUUGACGGUACCUGAUCAGAAAGCCACGGCUAACUACGUG